UACCAGGAAACUCCGUCCACAUCCUUUUCCUCCCCGAGAACGGACGCUCAUACGAC
This 56-nucleotide small RNA is filed under the name Arabidopsis thaliana (thale cress). Its description in RNAcentral is "ATSL233870". Lineage: Eukaryota; Viridiplantae; Streptophyta; Magnoliopsida; Brassicales; Brassicaceae. The record is from RNAcentral.